AGUGAACGCUGGCGGUAGGCCUAACACAUGCAAGUCGAACGGCAGCACAGUAAGAGCUUGCUCUUACGGGUGGCGAGUGGCGGACGGGUGAGGAAUACAUCGGAAUCUACUUUUUCGUGGGGGAUAACGUAGGGAAACUUACGCUAAUACCGCAUACGACCUACGGGUGAAAGCAGGGGAUCUUCGGACCUUGCGCGAUUGAAUGAGCCGAUGUCGGAUUAGCUAGUUGGCGGGGUAAAGGCCCACCAAGGCGACGAUCCGUAGCUGGUCUGAGAGGAUGACAAGCGGCACGGGAACUGAGACACGGGCGAGACUCCUACGGAGGGCGCCAGUGGGGAGUGUUGAACAAUGGGCGCAAGCUGGAUCAAGCAAUACCGGGUAGGUAAAGAAGGCCUUCGGGUUGUAAAGCCCUUUUGUUGGGAAAGAAAAGCAGCAGGUUAAUACCCCGCUGUUCUGACGGUACCCAAAGAAUAAGCACCGGCUAACUUCGUG
This 492-nucleotide ribosomal RNA is filed under the name uncultured bacterium. RNAcentral describes it as "partial 16S ribosomal RNA". It matches the Rfam family "Bacterial small subunit ribosomal RNA", at positions 29 to 507 of the family's 1533-position model. The record is from RNAcentral.